UCUCGAUAAAGGCAAAGCUAGCGAAAGUUAGUGACGCAAAGCUACAGGGGCUAAGGUGUAUUACAAGUACACUACGCCAGCCAGUUACCGAA
This 92-nucleotide non-coding RNA is filed under the name Anaerobacillus arseniciselenatis. RNAcentral describes it as "c-di-GMP sequence". It matches the Rfam family "c-di-GMP-I riboswitch aptamer". Rfam says of the family: GEMM was predicted in a large-scale screen for bacterial structured RNA regulatory elements. Genes associated with GEMM are involved in a diverse array of functions, including chemotaxis regulation, signal transduction, secretion and chitin. Lineage: Bacteria; Bacillati; Bacillota; Bacilli; Caryophanales; Bacillaceae. The record is from Rfam by way of RNAcentral.